UACGAAGGGGGCUAGCGUUGUUCGGAUUUACUGGGCGUAAAGGGCGCGUAGGCGGCCCGCUAAGUCGAACGUGAAAUCCCCGAGCUCAACUCGGGAACUGCGUCCGAUACUGGCGGGCUUGAAUCCGGGAGAGGGAUGCGGAAUUCCAGGUGUAGCGGUGAAAUGCGUAGAUAUCUGGAGGAACACCGGUGGCGAAGGCGGCAUCCUGGACCGGCAUUGACGCUGAGGAGCGAAAGCCAGGGGAGCAAACGGG
RNAcentral lists this ribosomal RNA (253 nucleotides) under uncultured bacterium. RNAcentral describes it as "partial 16S ribosomal RNA". It matches the Rfam family "Bacterial small subunit ribosomal RNA", at positions 524 to 776 of the family's 1533-position model. The record is from RNAcentral.